RNAcentral lists this ribosomal RNA (494 nucleotides) under uncultured bacterium. RNAcentral's name for it is "partial 16S ribosomal RNA". It matches the Rfam family "Bacterial small subunit ribosomal RNA", at positions 28 to 507 of the family's 1533-position model. The record is from RNAcentral.
GACGAACGCUGGCGGCGUGCUUAACACAUGCAAGUCGAACGGAAAGGCCUGCUUUCCCUUGUGGAUUGCGGGUACUCGAGUGGCGAACGGGUGAGUAACACGUGAGUGAUCUGCCCCCAACUUGGGUAUAAGCCUGGGAAACUGGGUCUAAUUCCCGAUAGGACUGCAGGGUGGUGCCUGUGGUGGAAAACGAUUUUCUAGUGGUUGGGGAUGAGCUCGCGGCCUAUCAGCUUGUUGGUGGGGUAAUGGCCUACCAAGGCGGCGACGGGUAGCCGGCCUGAGAGGGUGGACGGCCCCAUUGGGACUGAGAUACGGCCCAGACUCCUACGGGAGGCAGCAGUGGGGAAUAUUGCGCAAUGGGCGGAAGCCUGAUGCAGCGACGCCGCGUGGGGGAUGACGGCCUUCGGGUUGUAAACUCCUUUCGACCGCGAGGAAGCCACCUGGUUGGAAGGGUGGUGACGGUAGUGGUAGAAGAAGCACCGGCUAACUACGUG